AAAAUUGGCGGUAUUUAAAUCUCAUUAGGGGAAUUUGUCUUUUAAAUGAUAAUCCGCAAGAUACCUUACUUUACUUUUUAAUUUAUUUAUUGCCGUUAUCAGAUUAUUUUUUAAGAAAUUAAAUUUUCAUAAAUAUUUCAUAGUAGUAUUUAUUUCAGGUCAUUAUGUAGUUUAUGGUAGAGUUAAGAUGAAUUACAAUAAAUUUGUAUUUAUAUGGAUAUAAAAAUGAAUAUUUUUAUUGAAAGUGGACUUAAUAGUAAAUUUAAAUAAAAUAUUAAUU
RNAcentral lists this ribosomal RNA (280 nucleotides) under Lagidina irritans. RNAcentral's name for it is "partial 12S ribosomal RNA". The record is from RNAcentral. Lineage: Eukaryota; Metazoa; Arthropoda; Insecta; Hymenoptera; Tenthredinidae.